Long non-coding RNA from Panthera uncia (snow leopard), 8461 nucleotides. RefSeq lists it as uncharacterized. The transcript has 2 exons. NCBI's taxonomy places the organism in Eukaryota, Metazoa, Chordata, Mammalia, Carnivora, Felidae. The record is from RefSeq and is a predicted model, not a curated record.
UCAGGGAGGCCGCUGCAGCUCCACCGCCGGCGAGGAGCUCCGAGGGAGGGUCGCAGACGUAGCUGCUGCGGAUAAACAGACUUAGUCCCUGUUCUUGCGGAGUUGAAACUUCAAGGUAAAUAUCGUACAGUGUUAAGAGAUAUGAAUAAAGUCAAUUUGGUUUGAAGGUGGUAUAAGAUUUUUUCUAGAGGCAAUACUAACAUUGGUGAGGAGAUAUUCUAGAUGGAAAGGACAACAUGAGAAAAAACUAUUGAUAGUUGGCAAGAAAAAACUUGGUGCCUAUAGGAAGCCUCAAGCAGUGUUGCUGGACUCCAUUGUUAGGAAGUAAGGUGAAUCCAGAGAUGAAAUAAAAGAGGUGGAUAGGGCCCAGGUGUUGGAGCUCCUUGCAUGCCGUGCCAUAGAAUUUGGCUUUAUGUUAGAAGCAGUGUGGAAUCAGUGAAGGAUUUUAGAGAAGCAGAGGGUCAUGGCCAGGUUUCCCCGUAUUGGAUAGAUGACUGGAUGGAGUGAGGGAAUACAUUUGCCAGGAGCCAGAGGCAGGGAGAUGAAAUAGAUAAACAGGCUCUUGCAGAACCCUAGGUGAGAGGUGAUGAAGUAGACCUUGUCUAGCAGUAGAAAGGCUAGAAUUAAGAGUACAGAUAGAUUUUCUUCAGGUUUUGAGGGAAAGGGCUAUAGGUAAAAAUUGAAGAAUAUCUUCAGGUAGUGGAAGAAAUUUCAAUCAAAUUUUAUGUUUCUGCAACAGUUUUUUAUUUGUACAGAUAUUACCCGGCAUGUAGUAUGUGCACAAUAAAUAUUUGUUGACUUGAUGAAUCAGUAAGUUUUUCUUUUUUUCCCCAGUUUUACUGAGCAAUAAUUGACACAUCUCUGUGUAAGUUUAAGGUGUAUAGCCUGAUGAUUUGAUUUAUGUUUGAUUUCAUUACACAAGUAAUACAUUGUAGGGAAAACAUGAUUUUGGGAACAGCAAACAGAAUAAGCUCAAAAAAUAAAAAUUACCCAUAGUCUCAUCAACCUGGAAAUAACCAAAAUGUGAACAUUUUUGUGUCUAGAAUUGAGAGACCUUACAGUAAAAAUUGAUGGUAUUGUUCACAUUAUUAUGUAGCCUGUUUUUUUCCCGUAAGAACAUUGUUGAUCCACUUUCCUUACCAGUAGACAUUUCUAUACUGUCAUUUUUUUUUUUAACAUUUGUUUAUUUUUGAGACAGAGAGAGAGAGCAUGAACAGGGGAGGAGCAGAGAGAGAGGGAGACACAGAAUCCAAAACAGGCUCCAGGCUCCGAGCUGUCAGCACAGAGCCCGACGCGGGGCUCGAACUCACGGACUGUGAGAUCCUGACCUGAGCCGAAGUCGGACGCUUAACCGACCAAGCCACCCAGGCGCCCCUAUACUGUCAUUUUUAAUGCUGCAUAGCAUCCCAUUGUGAGGAUGUUCUAUAACUUAUAUAACCAGGUCCUUUUCCAAAUAGUGUAAUAUCAGAAUGACCUAGGAAAUGUGUGAGUAAAGAGGUGCCUUUUAAUAAAGUUUGUUUCUUAAAAAAGAAACCAUUAAGGAAACCCUUUACAUUUUCAAAGAAAUUGCUUAUUCUGUUACAGUUUCUGCUGCAUUAAUUUCUUCAGCCACAGACUUGAGUUUAUCAUUGAUUUAAAAAUACCCAUAACUUAGUACUGUCUAGAAGUGCCUACAAGACCAUAGUUGUGUGACCAUGAACCAUGUUUCUUAAUCUCUUGAAGUCUUCUGUAAAAAAUACAGUAACACUUUGAUUAUCAAGAAUUGCCUAAAAAGUAUGAAUUAUGGAGUAGUAAAUAGUCAGAAUAGGCUUAUUCUCUUAAGUAAUUUUCCAUGGCUUUUGAGUUGUUGACACCACUUUGCAGCUCAUCGCUGCUUCAUUUCCAAGCCACCACUUCAGUAGGAGUGAGUGGCAUUUUCAAGGAUUGUGUUUUCAGUUUUAGAAAUUUUUUUCAAUUUCAGAAUUUUCAUUUGGUUCUUUUUUAUAGUGUCUAUUCGAUUUUUUUGUUCAUUGAAGUGUUUUUUUUUUCAAACAUGGGUGUAGCAGUUUUGAAAUUGUUGUGUGGUAAUCUCCAUUUACUGUCUUCUCUUUUAAAAAUGGGCUGUUGAGUAAUUUUGAAUUGUAUCCUGGACAUUGUGAACAAUGAAUCAUAGAGACUCUCAAUUUUUCUAAUUUCUCCAUAAGUGUUUGUUGUGGCAGGCUGUUAACUCAGUUGAACUUGAACUAUAAUCCAGCUCCCUUGUAGGCAGCACCUCAAAUACCGGUUGAGUUCUUUUAGCUGGGCUGCCUGGAGUUGGCCCCAUGUGCAUGCAGGCCUUGGGGUCAGCCACGGAAUUUGGGGCUUCUCUCUGGCUUACUUUUCUGGGAUUUCGCACUUUCCCAUGCCUGUUGUCCCAUACUGUUCUGUGGUUCUUCAAGCCAUUAAGACUGCAGGUUUUCUCUUUUGGUUUUAGUUGCCCAGCACAGGCCUGUGGGCCUGCUUUUAGGCUAAAAGAUAUAGAGUGUAAAGCAAAAAAACCUUCAUUGGCUUCUUCUAAGUAUAGACUCCCUUUGGUGUCUUCCUGCAUUUGGUUGUUUUCCAAUGCCUUCAGAAAGUGUUUUGGUUUUUUAAAAAUAAUUUGCCCAGUGUUUAUAGUUGUUAGUGGUUUGGCCUGAUAAUAUCUACUCAGCCACUCUAGAAGUAGAACCUCCUGUAGUGGCAUUUUUCUUUCUAAACUUUAAGUUUUGUAGAAUGGACUGUUUUCUCAUUUCAUUAGAGAUCAUUUUAAACCUGAUUUUGCAGUGUCCCAGGGUAUCUCCAUUUUGACUCAAGGACUCUAAAGGAGUUCUUUAACAACAACAACAACAAAAAAGGCAUUUGUAUUAGUGUUUUUAUUGCUACUAUUACAAAUUACCAUAAACUUAGUGACAUAACACAGAUUUAUUGUCUUAUGAUUGUGUAAAUUAAAAGUUUGACAUGGAUCUCACUGGGCUAAAAUCAAGGUGUUGGUAGAGCUAUUGGAAUACUGUAGGGGACAAGCCAUUAUUUUGACUUUUCUAGCUCCUAGAAAAAGCUGCCCUUAUUUGUUGGCUCAUGGCUCCUUUCUUCCAUCUUCAAAGCCAGCAAAGGCAGGUUAAGCUGUUGCAUCACUGACCCUGCGUCCAUCAUUUGUGACAUAUCCUUCUCUAACUUUGUUCCCUCUUUCACAUUUAAAGGGCCCUGAUAAUCCAGAAUAGGAAUCUCCCUAUUUUAAGGUCAACUAAUUAGUAAUCUUAAUUCCAUCUGCAACCAUAUUUCUCUCUUGCUAUGCAUACUAAUACAUUCACAGCUUUCCAGCAUUAGGAAAUGGGUAUUUGGGGGGCACUAUUACUCUGCCUGCCAUGGCCUUAAACACUUCAGGGGAAAGAGAAAAUAGGCAAAAUUUUUGUUUAUUCAGUGAGGUUUAAUAGACUGCUACUGCAUACUACAAAUUCAUAUCUUUUAUAUUGGAGAUGUAAACUCAGUCUCCAUUUCAAAGAUAUAAAUAGCUGUACUUCCCUUCUCUUUGCAUACUGUUUAAUAACAGCUCAGUACAUUGGGUAAUAAAUAAUAGGUUCGUUGACCAUGUCAGUCUGGUUUUCCAUUGAGAAACCUUGACUCACCCACUACUUUUUGAGUCAGAUCAGGAAACCUGUUAUAAAUUGGUUGCAGGAGAUUUUUUUCAUUCAACAAGCACUAAAGAUUUAACGUUUAAACACACUUUUUCUUUGCCUUGUUGGUGGAGAGGGAAAAUGCCUUAUACGUGGGAUACUUUUCUGGGUGUUAUCCCAUUUUGUACAUGAGACAGCUGAUGAUUCCCAGACAAAUAUGCCCCAAAUUACACAGUAGUAGGAGCCUGAACUGGGUUUGUUUGCAAGUCCUAUUUUUGUUUCUUCUUUUUAAUUUAUUUUUCUUAAGUUGCUCAAAUUUACCGAGGGAAGUUGGCAUGUUUGGUAAAGAUUUAAGUUUUAUAGAUGCUAUAAUAGUAGAAUAGUUUGUCAGUGUGAUCAGAAACCAGGGAAGUGAUUUCACUGUACUUAAAGGAAGAGAGCAGAGGGGAUAAGAAGAAGAGGUUAACUUUGGUCAUGAUGGGUGCAAUUUUGUUCCUAAGGAGAUACCAUGAUAGUUCCUUGUCAUCACUGACUAAAAUAUUCCUUAAUAUCCCUCAGUACUUCCAGAGAUUCUGGGUUGGAAAAGAUAGCCUAGCAUUUCUUGUUCUUGGCAUCCUUAAAUUUUGAAGACCAUUCAGAAAAUCCAUCAUCUGCAUGUUAGGAUAUAGAUGCCAUACACUCUAAAGCAGUAAAUCCCAAACUUGAUUAAAAGAAUCGUCUCUAUGCUCUGUCUCUCUCUGUCUCAAAAAUAAAUAAACGUUAAAAAAAUUAAAAAAAAAUCGUCUAUGAUGCUUUAAAAAUACACAUACUUGUGGCACCUGCAUGCUCAGUCAGUUAAGCGUCCAACUUGAUUUCGGCUCAGGUCAUGAUCUCAAGGUUCAAGAAUUGGAGCCCCAUAUUGGGCUCUGUGCUGACAGUGUGCAGCCUGCUUGAGAUUCUCUCUCCCUCUCUGUCUCUCUCUGCUCUUCUGCUUGCUCUCAAUCUCUUUCUCUAAAAUAAAUAAAUACACCUACUUUGGGGGCACCUGGGUAGCUCAGUUGGUUGAGUAUCCGUCAUUGGUUCAGGUCAAGAUCUCAUGGUCAUGAGAUGGAGCCCUGUGUGGAGUCUGCUUGGGACUCUGUCUGCCUCUCUCUCUGCCCCUCCACUGCUCUCAUGCAUGCACUUGCUCUCUCAAAAUAAAUAAAUAAAAGUUUAAAAAAAAAAAUACACAUACUUGAGCUCCACCCGGUCAUAGGUUUACUAAAUUUUAAACAAUAUAUGCUUGUCUGAGUAUUAGUCCCUAAGACUAGAAAAUAAGGCAACUUAUAUUUACAGAGCAUUUGUUCAUGUUUAUUUGAUUUUCAAAUUAAACAAAAAAAAAUUGUGCUUAGGUUUUACCAAUUCUUUUUUUUUUAAUGUUUAUUUAUUUAUUUUGAGAGAGAGAAGGAGAGAGGGCAGAGAGAGGGGGAGAGAGAGAAUCCCAAGCAGGUCUGAGCUGUCCGCACAAAGCUGGACAGGGGCCCCUAACUCGCGAACCAUUGAGAUCAUGACCUGAGCCGAAAUCAAGAGUUGUGCGCUUAACCGACUGAGCCACCUAGGCACCCCUUACCAGUUAAUUCUUUAGGCCAAAAGCUCUUCAAAUCACUUAACCUUUUGAAAAUGAAUGUUUGCUCCUACAGUCAACUUGUAAUUAUUUAGGGUCUUACUUGUUUUUGUGAUUAUUGAGGCCUAUAGCUUGGCCAUUUUAUUUCCUUCAUUUUAAUGGAGCACACGAAGAAAAGAUAACAGGAAAUUGGGAGUGUUACUGUUUAAUUAAAGUUCCAGUAAUAAUAAUAAUGAUAAUAAUGAUAGUGGCCAGUACACGAGUACUUAUAAUGAUACUUUGCUAAAUAUUUCAUCUCAUUUCAUCUUUAACAGUUUAAGAUAGGUAUUGCUGUGAUUUUAUAGGUAAGCAUACUUAGGUAUGGAGAGGUAGAGUGACUUGCCCAAGGUUACCAUACUAGAAUUGGCAAAGGUGUGACUGAACCUAGGUCUGCUGGCUAAAAUGAUACUUGGACAUUUCAUUUCUAGGAAGUAUCCCUAUCGUUAGAAUAUUUGAGUGUUGCUUAUAUCCGCAUUGGAUUUUACAUGUUUAAAGAGUGCUUUGUUUAAUUUAUGGUCAGGAUAGACAGUAUUGUUGCUGUUGAUAUGGUUAUCUUAAUCUGUAAUGCUCCUGUAAUACCUGGGCUUUUUGGGUAGCUUUUCUGUUACAUAAUUUGGCCAAAUUUUGCUUGUUAAUUCUCUUACACAGUGCUAGAAAAAUCCGAUUUCUUUAAUCUGAAUUAACAUUUUUAAAUUAUUGAUGGAAUUUUAUUUGGAAGACAUUUGUAAGAGCCCUCCCAUGUAUAGUUGAAAAUAUUAACAAAACUUAAUUUCUGUAGUCAGGAAAACUUAUGUUUGGCUUUUCAUUUAUUUAGCUGUGUGAUCUGGGAAAAGUUUUUUCUUUUGUCCUUUGCACCUUAGUUUCCACAUUUGUAAAACUGGGGAUGAUAAUAAUACCUAUAUGGUAGGGGUUGCUGGGAGAAGUAAAUGAGUUACAGCAUUUGUAAAGUUUGUAGCACGUAUUUGAUGCAGAGUUAGCACUUGUAUUUAUUAUCACUAUCCUUGAAAUAGAUCUCACAGUUACUAUUAGCUCAUCCAUCAUCUACUUUAUUAAACCCAAAUGGAUUGAAAACUUAAAAAUGUAGGGAAUACCUACUCUGAGUAUAUUAUACAUAAAGCUCUUGGGAGCUUUUUGUUUUCUCUGCAUGUCUUUGCUCUAGACAGCUGAAAGAAAUGGCUUUUGCUUAAGCUGGCAGUGAGGGAGGCUGUAGGUAAUAGGUGAGUAGAUAAUUGGUGAACAAUGGGAAGAAAGUACAUUGGGAGCCAAUAUCACUUUCCCUUUACCAGAUGUUUCACAUGUGAGUUGUGACCCCCCCCCCCCCCCGCUGGUGCACACAUAUAUUGUGGAUUUAAUCUAAAUAUUCAGGGUAGUGUGAAACGUAUAUUCCUUGCCUGAAUUGGUUGCUAAUAAAGGAAAACAUUUUUUCUGUUGCCUGACCUUAGUCCUGUCUUUCUAACUAAUUAGGUUACUGAUUCUGUCAGUUUUGUCUUGCAGCUUCCUUGUCCUUUAUUAAGUUCCUCUGGCUGGAUGUGGCCUUUUAAAGUGCAAAUGUCUGAUAGAACUGAAAAGUGAACAGAGUGGAUACUGUUAAUGUUUGAGCAACAGGAGAAACUAAAAAGACAAAUGUAGGGCCCAUGAAAGAUUCUGUUCUUGGGGAGUGGGUGGAAGAGUGUCAAAUUUAAAUUAUCGUCAUUUUGAGCUACCGGUAUUGGUAAUACAAAUAGUGAUUAAAAAGGGAAGGGCUAAUCAAGCUGAGGACUUAAAUCCAAAAGGCUUGGGCUCAGACUCCAUCUCUGUCACUAAUUGUGUAGUAUAAGGCAGGUUACGGUUUCUGAGCCUAAGUUUCUUUAAAAGUAAAAUGGAAAUAAUAAUAACUAACCAUAGAUUUUUGAGGAGUCAGUGAAAAAAGGUGUGUUGAAGUAUACUUAACACAAAGCCACUUGAGUUGAAUUCAAAGAAAACACUGCCACUAUUUGCUGUAAAUCCUCUGUUCCUUCUUCAGAAGUGUUUCAACACUCUGAAAAAAGAAUAAGCUAGAAUCGAAGCCCACUAUUAAUUCUGAGCUAUAUGUCAAAUUAUGUUCUUGUCUAUUUUAAAAAAAGUUACUUGAAUUUUCAACUGGUGUUCACUGUAUUCAAAUGGAAUCCAUUGAAGCAUAGAUACUUCAGAGUUCAGUGAGAAGCCAGACUCUAGUCUGGUGAAAAGAGUAGACUCUAAGGGGGGAAUCUCUGCUUACUCUUCAAAUCAGUCCAGCCUAGUCUAGUUUUAAGACCGAUAAUGGGUCCUGGAAUACCUCUUCAUUCCAAGGUGAAACUAAAAUCAAAUGGUUUAUUAACUAGUGCAAAGAUGUUAAUUCAGACUUUUCAUAUCUUAUUUAUUCCUUUAUUGCAAGUGUCUGAUGUGGAUGUUAUAACGAAUAUAAAACAGAUGAAGCUUUUAAACAUCUCAAAAAACAGGUUAGCUUUGAAAAUGGCCACUUGCUAACUUGAUAAGGGCUAAUGUUUAUCAGUUUACCCUAUUUCACUUGGUUUAUUUUAUAAACAAAUUAUCUGAGCCUUUUUUCUACUACCUUGAAGUUGGCUUCAGACAUGGAAAUUAAGUUGCUCAAAUGCUAUGCUAAUACACACACACACACACACACACACACAUAUUUAGGUUUUUUAUAGGGACAGAAGAGUGGCAUUUACUGUUUUUUUUCAAAAAAGGCUUUUAAAAAAACAGUAAAUAGCUUGUUUUAAAUAAAGGACAUACAUAUAUCCCUCAGUCUCUAAAUGGGAACGUGGUGAGCCAAUGGAGGAGGCAGGUCUUUUCAUUUCAAAUCUGUCUCCCUGUGUAUGGAUGCAUUCCUGGUUUUCUUAAGCUCUUUGAUUUCCUAGAUUUACUCUGUUCUUCUAGAGCUCUGAUUUCAUCAAAUAGUUCCAUUCAAGUGGCUGAUAAUAAGGCCAUAACCUUGUAGGCAUUAGACCUAAGAUUUAAUGCUCGUUCUACCAAUAAUUAGUUAUGAGAAGUUUUCAUAACUCAUUUAAAUCUGUAUUUUCUUGAAGUAAUACCCAUCUUGCAUGAAAGUUGUAAGAAUUAAAUGUGUAAAAAAGCUUAGUGCCUGACAUAUAGUACUACUAUAAAAAUAGCUAAUGAUAGGUAACACUAAUAUAGUACUUACUAUGUGUAGGCAGCAUAUUAAGCACUUUACAUGGAUUAUCUCUUUUAAUCAUUACAAUAAUCCUAUGAAGUA